This 601-nucleotide ribosomal RNA is filed under the name uncultured bacterium. RNAcentral's name for it is "bacterial SSU rRNA". It matches the Rfam family "Bacterial small subunit ribosomal RNA", at positions 739 to 1344 of the family's 1533-position model. The record is from RNAcentral.
ACUGACGCUAAAGCUCGAAGGUGCGGGUAUCGAACAGGAUUAGAUACCCUGGUAGUCCGCACGGUAAACGAUGGAUGCCCGCUGUUUGCGAUAUACUGUGAGCGGCCAAGCGAAAGCGUUAAGCAUCCCACCUGGGGAGUACGCCGGCAACGGUGAAACUCAAAGGAAUUGACGGGGGCCCGCACAAGCGGAGGAACAUGUGGUUUAAUUCGAUGAUACGCGAGGAACCUUACCCGGGCUUGAACUGCAGCAGAACGAUUGAGAGAUCAUGAGGUCCUUCGGGACUGCUGUGGAGGUGCUGCAUGGUUGUCGUCAGCUCGUGCCGUGAGGUGUCGGCUUAAGUGCCAUAACGAGCGCAACCCCUCUCUUCAGUUGCCAUCAGGUAGAGCUGGGCACUCUGGAGACACUGCCACCGUAAGGUGUGAGGAAGGUGGGGAUGACGUCAAAUCAGCACGGCCCUUACGUCCGGGGCUACACACGUGUUACAAUGGGUGGUACAGAGCGUCGGCGGCCUGCAAAGUCCGUCCAAUCGCAAAAUCCAUCCUCAGUUCGGACUGGGGUCUGCAACCCGACCCCACGAAGCUGGAUUCGCUAGUAAUCG